RNAcentral lists this ribosomal RNA (253 nucleotides) under uncultured bacterium. Its description in RNAcentral is "partial 16S ribosomal RNA". It matches the Rfam family "Bacterial small subunit ribosomal RNA", at positions 524 to 776 of the family's 1533-position model. The record is from RNAcentral.
UACAGAGGUGGCAAGCGUUGUUCGGAAUUACUGGGCGUAAAGCGCGUGUAGGCGGCAAGGUAAGUCGGAUGUGAAAGCCCACGGCUCAACCGUGGAAGUGCACCCGAAACUGCCUAGCUAGAGUCUCGGAGAGGAAGGUGGAAUGCUUGGUGUAGAGGUGAAAUUCGUAGAUAUGCGGAGGAACACCGGUGGCGAAGGCGGCCAUCUGGACGACUACUGACGCUGAGACGCGAAAGCGUGGGGAGCAAACAGG